UACGUAGGGUGCAAGCGUUAAUCGGAAUUACUGGGCGUAAAGCGUGCGCAGGCGGUGAUGUAAGACAGAUGUGAAAUCCCCGGGCUCAACCUGGGAACUGCAUUUGUGACUGCAUCGCUAGAGUACGGCAGAGGGGAUGGAAUUCCGCGUGUAGCAGUGAAAUGCGUAGAUAUGCGGAGGAACACCGAUGGCGAAGGCAAUCCCCUGGGCCUGUACUGACGCUCAUGCACGAAAGCGUGGGGAGCAAACAGG
This 252-nucleotide ribosomal RNA is filed under the name uncultured bacterium. Its description in RNAcentral is "partial 16S ribosomal RNA". It matches the Rfam family "Bacterial small subunit ribosomal RNA", at positions 524 to 776 of the family's 1533-position model. The record is from RNAcentral.